GCCAAAUGAAGAGGAAGAGGUAAGCUUGGCAAAUCGAAUAAAUACAAGGAAAAAAAGUCAAGUGUUGGUGCCAAACUACUUAGGGUGUAGUUUAGGGACGAAGUUAAUGUUGGUUUAUUGGUAGGUUUCGAUGUUGGCUGGUUUAAGGCAGGUGCAUGCAUGAUUCCAUUAAUUUGCAUUGUCUGUUACCGCCAUCUAGUGGCCGUAUCGAUCCCUACAGUUGGAUUUCCCAUCAAUACUUUUUUUUUAAGAAAGGCACUCCUGGAACUUUGAGCCGACUUUGUACUUCGAUCGAGAUAGCGGCCUUGUUGUACAUCGGGGCCAAAAGAAGAGCGAUGCCAUCUUUGCCGGAGGGAUUCUCACAGGGCGCCAAAGAGGUUGCUUGACGAGUGACCAAAGACUGCGGCCAUCUGCAGACCAACCGCUCCGACAUUCAUUCAUCCCAAGGAGCAGGACCGGGGCGACUUCUUGUACAGCUCAGAAAAAGAGCGUCGGUGGUCACCCAGAUGGACUCUGGAGGUAACAAGUUCUUACAAAAGCUCAAUUCGAGGGCGUGUUUUGCCAGCUCGUGUUAGAAGACUGCGUUGGAAUUAUGCUUUGAGCGUUCGGAAGAGCGGAAACGUACAAGCGGAGCACUUUUACGAAAACCGCAAAAUCCGGUUGACUUUGUACAAAUCACUUGGUGCCAGUCAUGACAAUUCGGGUCUGUGGUCGAGUUUCACAGAGGGUUGAUUCGAUUUUGGAUCAACCACAAGACAAACGGAGUAAAAUUCUCCUGUUUGUGGGUUCGAGCUCAUGUGCUUCUUCCUCACACUUUUCCAAAAUUGCUGUUCAAAUACAAGACGGCGUGGCACCACCCCAAUUCAUUGCGGACGCGGUAAUCCAACGUUUAGUGACUUGAAUAUAAGUCUCGUUUUUCAAAAUUCAUCUUCAAGAGGUUGGAGGAGAAUCAAGCUGACAGAAGAGUCGCCCGGUUUUCAUGGCAAGAUUUCAGGAAGAGAGUUUAAUGUCAACAACUGAUGCGGAGACAACGGUUAUUGCAAAUGGACCAAAUGGAUCAAGGACGACAACUCUACCAAAUUUGCCCAGAGGGGAGGGGAAAGAGAUU
Hippocampus comes (tiger tail seahorse) is the source of this 1108-nucleotide long non-coding RNA. RefSeq lists it as uncharacterized. The transcript is spliced from 2 exons. NCBI's taxonomy places the organism in Eukaryota, Metazoa, Chordata, Actinopteri, Syngnathiformes, Syngnathidae. The record is from RefSeq and is a predicted model, not a curated record.